UCGAACAUGUCCUCUGAAAGCUGUAGAUAUUCACCCGAUACCUCACUAGGCAGAAUGACAUAGGAAUAAAAAUGAUGUGGAAUGCUGGUCGUAUAAUUUGUGUCCUGGGUUGGCUACGUGUCGCCGUUUGCGUUGUAAAGAUUGACAAAGUUCACUUUAUUCGGGACAAUUCUGUAAGCGAUAUUCAGAUACCAGGCAGCCGAUUGGAUGUAAUAGAAAAUCCGCAUUACAAACGGAACUGCCUUGUGGAAUGCGCGCAACGCGAAGCAUGUGUCAGUGUCGGGGAAACGACAAACGGCAAAUGUGACCUGUACACGCACGACUUGACGAAUUUCGCGUACAAUAUAGUACUUCAGCCGGGAACAAGAAUCUACAAAACGGUGUGUCCCGAAACCGACUACACGUAUAUCCGGUACAUCGGCGUUUGCAUCAAGCGCUUCACAUACAACUAUGAACGCAAGCGACGCUAGCACAACGUGUCAGAAGGACGGCGCCAGUCUGUUGAAGGUCAACAACUAUAAAAAGAUGAGCUAUCUACGGUCAACACUGACACAUCUUUAUGCUGAUGAUCGACUGUUCGUACUGAAUGGUCUCUACGAGAAUGCAACCGGUUGGAGAUGGAAUGGACAAUCGGCUGUUCCAAUAGUCAACACCACCGGCUCCUUCUACUGGGGUCCAGGCGAACCGAACUUGGCCUCCGGCAAAUGCGUGGGUGUGACGUCACUGGGCGGUUAUUUGAAGGCAUUUGACUGCAUGCAGACCGCUCCAUUUGUCUGCGAGAUGGACCAGAAGUAGACGGAUCUCGUAGGAAAAGGAUAUGAUUCUAUUGUGUCUGAUUAAGUGUGCGUUGUUGGGAUUUUUUUUUUAAAUAUAAAUGUUUCGUAGUGAGUCUUAUAAACUUGCUUGUAGUGAACAAUUUUUCUUUUAUCUUGAACGAUCUGAGAAAAUUAAUUUAGGUAUGUACUGGUAUGUAAAAAAUAUAUAAAUUGAAGGUAAGCGGUAUUCACUGUACAUUAUUAUAAUUUACUGCAUAAUGUUAGAGAAUGGGCACGCUUUAAUGUAUUGAUUCGAUAUAGUACUUUAUAGAUAAAGAAGAUAACAUAUAAAUGUUAGUAUAAAUAUGAUCAAUACAAACAUUUCGAAAUGGAUAUCGGGUUGACGAAGAACAAAAUAGACUGCAAGGUUUGUUACUUUACAAUCAACACGUUUAUACAGUUACACAUAUAAUUCGCUUGUACAUUUAAAGACCAAUUCAUUAACAUCAUGUGCCGACUUUUAGAAAAUUCCAAUUGUUUUGUACAUACUUUUUAUACGACAGAGACACACAUUUUUGGUUCUGUGACAAAUGCGUAUAAAAAGGUAUCGGCAUCGGCUUAAGCAUGCGUGAAGUGUCAUCCCAGAUUAGCCUGUGCAGUUCGCACAGGCUAAU
Dreissena polymorpha is the source of this 1429-nucleotide long non-coding RNA. RefSeq lists it as uncharacterized. Lineage: Eukaryota; Metazoa; Mollusca; Bivalvia; Myida; Dreissenidae. The record is from RefSeq and is a predicted model, not a curated record. The transcript is spliced from 4 exons.